Molecule: ribosomal RNA, 497 nt
Filed under: uncultured bacterium
Lineage: Bacteria
Description: partial 16S ribosomal RNA
Rfam family: Bacterial small subunit ribosomal RNA
Source: RNAcentral
GACGAACGCUGGCGGCGUGCCUAACACAUGCAAGUCGAGCGAACAGACGAGGUGCUUGCUCCUCUGACUUUAUCAGCGGACGGGUGAUUAACACGUGGUUAACAUACCUCUCCGACUGGGAUAACAUCGGCAAACCGGAGCUACUAACGGAUGAUAUAUUGAACCUCAUUGUUCAAUAGUGAGAGACGGUUUUUGUGUCGCUUAUAGAUGGAUCCGCGCCGCAUUAGCUAGUUGGUAAGGUGACGGCUUACCAAGGCAACGAUGCGUAGCCGACCUGCGAGGGGGAUCGGCCACACUGGAACGGAGACACGGUCCAGACUACUACGGGGGGCAGCAGUAGGGAAUCUUCCGCAAUGGGCGAAGGCCUGAAGGAGCAACGCCGCGCGAGUGAUGAAGGUCGUCGGAUCGUAAAACUCUGUUAUGAGGGAAGAACAAAUGUGUAAGUAACUAUGCACGUCUUGACGGUACCUAGGCAGAAAGCCACGGCUAACUACGUG